GAUGAACGCUAGCUACAGGCUUAACACAUGCAAGUCGAGGGGAAACGGCAUUGAGUGCUUGCACUCUUCGGACGUCGACCGGCGCACGGGUGAGUAACGCGUAUCCAACCUUCCCAUUACUGUGGGAUAACCUGCCGAAAGGCAGACUAAUACCGCAUAGUCUUCGAUGACGGCAUCAGAUUUGAAGUAAAGAUUUAUCGGUAAUGGAUGGGGAUGCGUCUGAUUAGCUUGUUGGCGGGGUAACGGCCCACCAAGGCUACGAUCAGUAGGGGUUCUGAGAGGAAGGUCCCCCACAUUGGAACUGAGACACGGUCCAAACUCCUACGGGAGGCAGCAGUGAGGAAUAUUGGUCAAUGGACGGAAGUCUGAACCAGCCAAGUAGCGUGCAGGAUGACGGCCCUAUGGGUUGUAAACUGCUUUUGUAUGGGGAUAAAGUUAGGGACGUGUCCCUAUUUGCAGGUACCAUACGAAUAAGGACCGGCUAAUUCCGUGCCAGCAGCCGCGGUAAUACGGAAGGUCCAGGCGUUAUCCGGAUUUAUUGGGUUUAAAGGGAGCGUAGGCUGGAGAUUAAGUGUGUUGUGAAAUGUAGACGCUCAACGUCUGACUUGCAGCGCAUACUGGUUUCCUUGAGUACGCACAACGUUGGCGGAAUUCGUCGUGUAGCGGUGAAAUGCUUAGAUAUGACGAAGAACUCCGAUUGCGAAGGCAGCUGACGGGAGCGCAACUGACGCUUAAGCUCGAAGGUGCGGGUAUCAAACAGG
Molecule: ribosomal RNA, 761 nt
Filed under: Prevotella melaninogenica
Lineage: Bacteria; Pseudomonadati; Bacteroidota; Bacteroidia; Bacteroidales; Prevotellaceae
Description: bacterial SSU rRNA
Rfam family: Bacterial small subunit ribosomal RNA
Source: RNAcentral